GCCACGGAAGGUGUGGGUGGGACACAGGCCGGUUUUGGUCUGGCCGGGAUACAGGCUUUCAUCGUUGGGCGGGCGGUUCAGGUCCACCACGUAGCGC
RNAcentral lists this transfer RNA (97 nucleotides) under Achromobacter insolitus. Its description in RNAcentral is "tRNA-Gln". The record is from RNAcentral. Lineage: Bacteria; Pseudomonadati; Pseudomonadota; Betaproteobacteria; Burkholderiales; Alcaligenaceae.